Molecule: long non-coding RNA, 582 nt
Organism: Amphiprion ocellaris (clown anemonefish)
Lineage: Eukaryota; Metazoa; Chordata; Actinopteri; Pomacentridae
Source: Ensembl
UCUUAAGCCGCGAUUCCACAAGCAUCUACUCGGCGCGGUACGGUUCGCCACUAUUGUAUCUGACUCGGCUCUCGGUUUAGUUGUUUUUCCAUAUAGCCUCAUCGUGGGUGGAGUCGUCAUAGCGCAGCGAGCCGAAAGUCCCUUAACGUCAUUUGCGUGCGACACAAACGCAACAUAACGGAGACGAUGGUUCACCUGCUGCUCGGUCUGUGGCUUUCUGUCAGAUUCAGAGUAAUAGAAGAGUCGGAGAAAGCUGAGAGCGGCGAGUCGAAACACUCAGGAGACACACAGGAGAGUUUGGGAGGCGAUGCAGCAGUAUCAAGCUGAAGACAAGAGGAUAUGAACUAGACGACAUAUGAGGAUGCUCUCUGAUGAGACUUCAUGGGAUUUACCUGAAGCAGCAGCACAUGAGCCUGCAGUGGCACAAGGUGUAGAGGAGGAGGACAGAGAUGUACAGGAUGCACUGAUGCAGUACAUGUCAUGCAAAAGUUAUUCUUCUCGUUAUACUUCCGUUUUUCUGUCCCCGGACCGCUAUCGUUUUCUUUAAUGCAAUUCUGACAAUAAACUUUUGUACCUUUUGCA